AAGGGAGACCUAAUUCAGGUAGGAGACGAAAAAAAAGUAGUCCCAACCAAGAAUCAAUCCCAAAAGGUCGGAGCGAGGCGAAAUUGGCUUUCAAACUAGGUUCUGGGUUCACACAAGACCUGAAUCAGGAACAAGGGCUAUUAGCUCAGGUGGUUAGAGCGCACCCCUGAUAAGGGUGAGGUCCCUGGUUCGAGUCCAGGAUGGCCCACCUGCACAGGUGGCAAAAACAAGAGAAGCGAGGAAUCAGCACCUUAUCUUAUCUAUAUAUAAGAGAGAAUGCUGGCUCUGAGUAAAGAGUCCAGAGGAACCUUGAAAACUGCAUAGAGCUAGGUGAAAAAGCCAAAAAAGAAGACCGCAA
RNAcentral lists this transfer RNA (358 nucleotides) under uncultured Microcystis sp. Its description in RNAcentral is "partial 16S-23S ribosomal RNA intergenic spacer". The stretch from base 135 to 208 matches the Rfam family "tRNA". The record is from RNAcentral. Lineage: Bacteria; Bacillati; Cyanobacteriota; Cyanophyceae; Chroococcales; Microcystaceae.